RNAcentral lists this ribosomal RNA (497 nucleotides) under uncultured bacterium. RNAcentral's name for it is "partial 16S ribosomal RNA". It matches the Rfam family "Bacterial small subunit ribosomal RNA", at positions 28 to 507 of the family's 1533-position model. The record is from RNAcentral.
GAUGAACGCUGGCGGCGUGCCUAAUACAUGCAAGUCGAGCGAACAGGCGAGGAGCUUGCUUCUCUGACGUUAGCGGCGGACGGGUGAGUAACACGUGGAUAACCUACCUAUAAGACUGGGAUAACUUCGGGAAACCGGAGCUAAUACCGGAUAAUAUAUUGAACCGCAUGGUUCAAUAGUGAAAGACGGUUUUGCUGUCACUUAUAGAUGGAUCCGCGCCGCAUUAGCUAGUUGGUAAGGUAACGGCUUACCAAGGCAACGAUGCGUAGCCGACCUGAGAGGGUGAUCGGCCACACUGGAACUGAGACACGGUCCAGACUCCUACGGGAGGCAGCAGUAGGGAAUCUUCCGCAAAGGGCGAAAGCCUGACGGAGCAACGCCGCGUGAGUGAUGAAGGUCUUCGGAUCGUAAAACUCUGUUAUUAGGGAAGAACAAAUGUGUAAGUAACUAUGCACGUCUUGACGGUACCUAAUCAGAAAGCCACGGCUAACUACGUG